This 204-nucleotide unclassified non-coding RNA is filed under the name Cakile maritima (European searocket). Its description in RNAcentral is "partial external transcribed spacer". The record is from RNAcentral. Lineage: Eukaryota; Viridiplantae; Streptophyta; Magnoliopsida; Brassicales; Brassicaceae.
CCUCCCCCUAUUUUCCCAUCACUYGUUCCUCCCCAAAAAAGUACAAUACAAACUUAAAAAAAACCMAAAAAAUUUCAAGYCUAUAAGAAAACGAUGUCAGAGGUUUGAGAUUUUUACUURGUGAGAUUCACUCACGCACCAGAUUUUCAACACCCCCGAUGAUUUCAGUGCACACGUAACGGCCAAACGCAUCCAGAAAAUCAA